AUUGAACGCUGGCGGCAGGCCUAACACAUGCAAGUCGGACGGUAGCACAGAGAGCUUGCUCUCGGGUGACGAGUGGCGGACGGGUGAGUAAUGUCUGGGGAUCUGCCCGAUAGAGGGGGAUAACCACUGGAAACGGUGGCUAAUACCGCAUAACGUCGCAAGACCAAAGAGGGGGACCUUCGGGCCUCUCACUAUCGGAUGAACCCAGAUGGGAUUAGCUAGUAGGCGGGGUAAUGGCCCACCUAGGCGACGAUCCCUAGCUGGUCUGAGAGGAUGACCAGCCACACUGGAACUGGGACACGGUCCAGACUCCUACGGGAGGCAGCAGUGGGGAAUAUUGCACAAUGGGCGCAAGCCUGAUGCAGCCAUGCCGCGUGUAUGAAGAAGGCCUUCGGGUUGUAAAGUACUUUCAGCGGGGAGGAAGGCGAUGCGGUUAAUAACCGUGUCGAUUGACGUUACCCGCAGAAGAAGCACCGGCUAACUCCGUGCCAGCCGCCGCAGUAA
This 504-nucleotide ribosomal RNA is filed under the name uncultured bacterium. Its description in RNAcentral is "partial 16S ribosomal RNA". It matches the Rfam family "Bacterial small subunit ribosomal RNA", at positions 29 to 523 of the family's 1533-position model. The record is from RNAcentral.